RNAcentral lists this non-coding RNA (31 nucleotides) under Mus musculus (house mouse). Lineage: Eukaryota; Metazoa; Chordata; Mammalia; Rodentia; Muridae. The record is from RNAcentral.
UGAGAUUUCUAGUUCUCGUACACCUGGCAGA